UAACCAUCCAGAGCGGCUAAGAGAUCUGGCUCGACGACGCCGCAGCAACCACCCUGUACGGGGAAGGUGCUACCGCCAGAACCGAUGGAAG
This 91-nucleotide non-coding RNA is filed under the name Enteractinococcus sp. Its description in RNAcentral is "SAM-I sequence". It matches the Rfam family "SAM riboswitch aptamer (S box leader)". Rfam says of the family: The SAM riboswitch is found upstream of a number of genes which code for proteins involved in methionine or cysteine biosynthesis in Gram-positive bacteria. The SAM riboswitch acts at the level of transcription termination control. Lineage: Bacteria; Bacillati; Actinomycetota; Actinomycetes; Micrococcales; Micrococcaceae. The record is from RNAcentral.